UCUGUAUUUGAUGUGGUUUGAAACAAGGUCUCAGAUAUGGAAAGCGUGAUGGAGGGUCUCCAGGAACACGCGGCAGCUGUGUUCAAAACACACCCUUCGUGGUCAAGUUCUGCCACUCUGGCUCAUGCCUCAGGACAGCAGGGCUACGAUCACAUCUGGAACGAGAUCUAUGCCUGCACUGAGCUUCACCAGUGAGUGUGCCUGGGGAUCCUUAACUACUUCUGGUCCGUGGAGAGAAGCUUGACCAUCAGUACCACCGGCCUCUCCUUCAAGGCUGGUCGCCUAAUUCCCAGUGUAGGAGACACCUCCUGGGUCAGUGCUGCCAAAGGAGGCACUGGUGACUUUGGUGGCCUGAGUUCACAGCCAUAUAUGCACUACACGCCAGCUGACUACAAGGUCCACAGCGCUCAGUUCAUGGAAUUUGCAGAGAUGGAAAACCAUGAUGAUUUUCACACUAGCAAAAAUGGAUACAUUCAUACACAGGACCAGCGAGAGCUUUACAUAAUAUAUGAUGUUGCUUUAGAGGACCUGAAAGAGCUUGAGAACCAGCAGCUGCUUGUGGCCAGCCAGUACAUUGAAAAAGAUAAAGGUAGAGAUAUUUACAGGUCCCAAAGACCUGUGAUAAUUUGGUUUGCUGUUUUCAGGGUAGGCUGAUCCUAUGAUGUCUUGAACGUUUCUGUACUUCUGCAAGACCAAGUACUGACUGGAAUUUUGGGACCUUUCUUUAUCCUCCUACUUAGCUAAGUGGUGAAUGUGUUACAAAGAUGUAACUGAACACGUGGAAUUUCUUGUCACAUGUUGUUAAUGUUGCAGUUUUGCACUUAUUCAGGGUCAUAGACAUCAAAGUAAUCCUGGAGGGGAAAGAAGUAAUAUAAUGAAAAAGCACAUCUUCAAGGCACACAGAGGAGUCAGAAAAGAAGAAUGUUAAUUGUUUCCAAAUGUCUUUUAAUUAACAUAUUGGUUUGCUUUUCUACAGAACUAAAUUUACCCCCACCACUUUUAAACUUUUCUCAGUUGUAAAGAAGCUGUAAAAUAUCUGAUGUUCUAGACUUCCUUUUUUCCUGCUGCUUUUUGGGUUUUUUUUUGUAGUAAUAACUGGGUUGAGGCAGACUGUAUUACAAAUUUCUAAAAAGAGCAGCUGUAGUGAGUAGUGAGGAGGAAGAAGCUUGUACCUGUAGAAAGUGUGUGGGGAGGGCCAUUAGAAAACAGUGAAUAAAUGACACAAAGAUGUAUGAUAUUCAGAGAAUUGCACAAAAUAUAUCUUAAAAAACUGGAAUUACUUUCUGUAUUGAUAGAAUAAUGUUUCUGAAGUUUUAGUAUGCUUCCCUGAAUUUGAAUGUUCUGACAGAGAAUGCAGGGCAGAGCUGAGGAUCAAGAUGACCAAAAACCUUUACAAACCUGUGAAUGCCUAAAUGCCUGCUAGGACCUCCUUUGAAGUCACCUGAAGGUCCUCAUUGUGGAGGUUUUUCUGAAUCAUCUUUCAUGUAAGGAGAAGCUGAGAGAGCUGGGACAGUUCUGGCUGGAGAAGGCUCAGGAUUAAUCACUGAUCAGUGUGUAUAAAUACCUGGUGGGAGGGGACAAAGAAGAGGGAGCCAGACUCUUCUCAGUGGUCCCCACUGACAGGACCAGAGGCAAUGGGCACAAAGCAAAACACAUGAAAUUCCAUCUGAGCAGAAGAAAACACAUUUUUACCAUAAGGGUGGUCAAACACUGGCACAGGUUGCCCAGAGAGGUUGUGGAGGUCUUCAUCUGUGGGGAUAUCCAAAACCUGACUGGACAUAGUCCUGGGCAACCCACCCUAGGUGAUCCUGUUUGGGAGCAGGGGGUUGGGCUGGAUGACCUCCAGAGGUCCCUUUCAACCUCAACCAUUCUGUGAUUCUGUCAUGACAGUAGGCAGACUACUGAUGAGGUAUGGUACUCUGGUAGGCUGGUAUAGCAGUUCCUGUGUUUAUGUGUCUCUUCGUUAUCACCCCCCCACAGUGCACUUGAGGACUGAUCCUGAACUACCACUCCUAGCUCCUUAUGCUUCUUCCUGAUACGGUUUCUUUCUGUGUGCCAUGGACACAAAUGCUUUUAAUGUUGACUUCUUCAGUGAUCAUGGACUUCAAAAGACUCUCUUGUUUAGCUUUUGAAAAAUAAGACAUUCAAAGUCUGGAGCUGAAGAGUAGCUGCUGAAGCCUCUUCUAUUUACUCCAUGGCUAAUUUUUAGCUCUGCAGUUCUAAACAUUUCAGAGUCACUCUACUUGAUUUAUCAUUUAUUGUCAAAAUUAGCUCUAAUUUAGAUAGCAUUACAGCCAAGAAACCAAAAGCAUGAUUUCUUUAAGGAUUUCUAGUAAGCUGCUACUAUAGGAACAUUUGUAGUGAUUGUUUUUCCUUCCUUCACAGUCUUUUUUAAAUCAUGAAGACUGACUUCUCCAGUAGCAAGCCAUCUGAGAAGAAAGCCCUCCCCUGGGUCUGCACUCUGCCCUGCUAUAUCUCUCUGUAAAAUUUAUCUUUGAGUAGUCUGUGCCACUUUGAUCUGAUCUGAAAGUGAAGGUGAGGAGGUGAAGGUGACCCCAACAUGCUUUGGUGCUGUGAAAAAUUAAGCUUCUCUUCACUUUCCUCCCCAAGUUUUCUUGUGCUUUCCCUGGCUUUACCUCUUGAUGUGGGUCUUUUGAACUCCAGCCACUGCCCUUUUUCUCAAGGAAUAUUUGGUAGAAGAUGAUGGAAGAGAUGUUUAAACCAAAUGCCUGGUGCACUUGUUCUUUGCCUUGCAGAACACUCUGGGGCCCUCCAAAGCUUAUGGAACUUGAAAUAUUUUCCUGGCCUGAGGUUCCCUGGCAAGCAAAACUCACAAACCUGUGCUAUAAAUAAAAAGAAUUAUCACAAGCCCUGGGACUCUAGGCGUGUAGAAAUCCCUCUGAUACUGUCAUAUGCUUGUUUUCUCCUUUUUUUUUUUCUUUUGUCUUAGGCAAUGUAACUUGUGUGCAAUCCAGUGGCAGCAACAACCUUGGCUGGGCACAUGCCUCUGUGGAUUAGUGUGCUGUGCUGCUUGACCUCUGGGCCUGUGAAACUGCUCUCUUAGAAAAAAAAUGCCAGGUACCGAAGCUUUUCUUGGUCUGAAAACAGUGAUAUGCAAUCAGUUCACUUCAGGCUGUGUAAGGUUCCCUUUCAACAGCAUCUCCCAUUGUAUAGACAGGGAUGCCAGAGCCAGCAACUGUGGGUGGGGUGGCAGGGGUCUCAGAUGCAUUGGGAACCUGCUGCUGGGCUGGGUGCAGAGGGCUGGAGCUCCUGGGUGCUGUGAGUUGGGUCUAAAGGACCACAUGUAAUGGCUUUUAUGACAUGAGAGCAGAAAUACUUUUGUUGUCAGAUGGCAGCCUCUGUAGCUGCUGUGCCAGGGGCUGGAAGCACGGCCUUAGGGAGAGUCACCCACCACUGGAUAACUGGGAAUGAUAAUUGGGAAGGACAAGGCCAUCUCCAGAGCAAAACUGCAGAGCAUGUUUUGUCCCUCCUUGUGUGCCAGGGAAUGGAGCAAAUGCAGACUAGGGAAGAACCAGGUCCGGCCCUGAGGAGCCUGGGCCAGUAGGAAGCCCAAGGUGCAAAUUUCUUCUGUGGUCCUGGCUGUCCCUGCUUUCUGGGGCUGGUGCAGGAAACUUUUUGUGGCCAUCAUUAGAACUGUUGUCAUUGCAUCUUUGUGAAGCCCAGGGAGGAGAGACUUAGUCUGCAGCUGGCUAAGCCCAUCAUUUGGGUUACCCUUUGUCAGAGGCAACCAGAGAGAUAUUUUUGUUUGUUACAACAUAAAACCACAAUCCAUUUAUUAAUAAAAACUAUAUAUAUGAGUCUAUAUAUAUAUUAUAAAUUAAUUUCUUCUUUGUUAGUUAAUCUCUAUGAGAAAAAAAUGCCAUGAUUUAGUAUGGAGUUUAAAAAACCAAAAAACAAACCAACAGUAAAAACGUAUAUUAAGUGAUUUGUAGCUUUGCCAUUUACAAGGGCUGCUGCAUAUCCUGCGGGCUUUCCCCUUCCUCUCUGUGAAUCUAGUCAUGUGUCUGUAUUUUGCUAUGGGACAUGAAAGCACACGGGGUUUCUGCACGAAAUCUUCAGUCUUGAAAGAUGAAGAGUAGACAAGUUCAGAGGAAGGGACCCAGAGCAGCUUGGAAGCGUAUUUCUGUCUAUGGGACUCACUGGUCCCAAGGACAGUCUGUGAGUGUCAGGAAGCAGAAAGGAGCAGAGAGUCUACUUCAGAAGCAGUGAGAAAUGGCGCUUAUUGAGGUCGCCUUUACACACUUGAAAAGUUUUGUUCUCAGUCCUGGAGUAACCCAGGGCAGCUCUCAAAACAGAAAUGCUAGAGGGUGUUAGGGAAUCUCCUGUGUACCACUGAAGAGGCUUUAAGCAGAAAACCUUUUAAACUAAAAUGGUUGUAUGUAGUUUAGGCAAUCUCCUGAGGCCACUCUCCCAUUUUCAGAGAGGAGCUUUGUGUUACAAAGCUAUAUAAAAUACUGUCUAAUUGCCUAGUUCACUAAGUUUCUUUGCUUUCCAUUGCUGUAUGAUCUGUGAAUUUACAUUUUCUUUUUAUCAUGAACCUCUGUAUAAGGAAAUCUGCUUUCUUUUUGGAAGAAAAACUCCCAGUAGAGAAGAACGAAACCUCUACAGCAACAAUACACUACUUCUCUUCCAAAACCUUCAAAGAGUAUAUUCUGGAACUGCUGUCAUAACCCAACUCUCUAGGCAGGAUUAAAUGUACAGAUGUGCUGUUGCUGGAGGUCUUUAGCUUUUACAUGAAAUGAAAUGGAAGUGGGUCUCUAGCUUUGUUUCCAGCUGGGACAGAGUUCUUUCUGAAUGAGAAAACAAGAACCCUUUGUCCAGCAGCUGAGACAGUUUAGCUCAGCCAAUAUAAAACUUGCUUAUGGCCUACUGCAGUGUCUUAGCUUCAUCCAGAAUAGUCAGGUCAGGCAGGCCUACAUCAGAAAACUUAUCAUAUAAUCAUAGAAUGAUAGAAUGUCCUGAGUUGGAAGGGACCCACAAGGAUCACCAAGUCCAACUCCUGUCCCUGCACAGGACAGCCCCAAAUUCACACCAUGUCUCUGAGUGCAUUGUCCAAGUGGUUCUUGAAUAGCGUCAGGCUCGGUGCUGUGACUGCCUCCCUGGGGAGCCUGUUCCAGUGCUCCACCGCCCUCUGGGUGAAGAACCUUUUCCUAAUAUCCUGCCUAAACCUCCCAUGGCACAUAUUCCUGCCAUUCCCUCCGGUCCUGUC
Phalacrocorax carbo (great cormorant) is the source of this 5230-nucleotide non-coding RNA. The record is from RefSeq and is a predicted model, not a curated record. NCBI's taxonomy places the organism in Eukaryota, Metazoa, Chordata, Aves, Suliformes, Phalacrocoracidae.